AUCGCUUCUCGGCCUUUUGGCUAAGAUCAAGUGUGGUGUUAAUUGGUAAAUUGGUACACCCAUUUUGAAAACCAGUAUGGAGAUUUCUCAAAAAAAUAAAAUGGAACUUCCAUAUGGUUUAGCAAUC
This is a small nuclear RNA of 127 nucleotides. Its record names the gene U2. It matches the Rfam family "U2 spliceosomal RNA". From Rfam's summary of the family: U2 is a small nuclear RNA (snRNA) component of the spliceosome (involved in pre-mRNA splicing). The record is from Ensembl.